This is a long non-coding RNA of Astyanax mexicanus (Mexican tetra), 393 nucleotides long. RefSeq lists it as uncharacterized. Lineage: Eukaryota; Metazoa; Chordata; Actinopteri; Characiformes; Acestrorhamphidae. The transcript has 3 exons. The record is from RefSeq and is a predicted model, not a curated record.
UAAUGUGUGUGUUCCGCACACUGUGGGAAACCACUGAUUCUCCAAACUUCUGUAGGUUCUGAAAGUUCUAUCGGUUCUGCAGGUUCUAAAGUUUCUAAAGGUUCUGUAGGUUCUGUAGGUUCUGAAGGUUCUGAAGUUUAUGUAGGUUCUGCAGGUUCUGAAGUUUCUAAAGGUUCUGUAGGUUCUGAAGUUUCUGUAGGUUCUGCAGGUUCUAAAGGUUCUGUAGUUUCUGUAGGUUCUGCAGGUUCUGAAGGUUCUGAAGUUUCUGUAGGUUCUGUAGGUUCUGAAGUUUCUGUAGGUUCUGCAGGUUCUGCAGGUUCUGCAGGUUCUGUAGGUUCUGUGCUGAAGGUUCUGCAGAGGUAAAGCUGAUGUUCUGAGUUUCUCAGGUCUGUU